Long non-coding RNA from Diceros bicornis minor, 388 nucleotides. RefSeq lists it as uncharacterized. NCBI's taxonomy places the organism in Eukaryota, Metazoa, Chordata, Mammalia, Perissodactyla, Rhinocerotidae. The transcript is spliced from 4 exons. The record is from RefSeq and is a predicted model, not a curated record.
UGUCCUCCCCAGGAGCUCUUCAAGAAAGUGAUGCCCCACGACUUCCUGGACUCCAUCUGGUCCCAGUGUGACAAAAGGGGCAAUGAACACCUGACACCCACCAUCCAUGCCACCACGACCCACUUUAACAGAGUGGUCGAAUGUGUCGUCACCACCUGCAUUGGGGACCCGAGCAUGACGGCCUAGGACAGGGCCAGGGUGGUGGAGCUCUGGAUCCAGGUGGCCAAGGAAGAACUGUACAAAACUUAAAAAAUUGAUGAAAACAAGCCAGCGGGAGAGCAGGAAGCUGCUCAAGGAGGAGGUGACCUCUGUGUGGGCCACCUUAGAGAUGGAUCCCCAAGGAGCCCAGGAGAGGCAGCAGCAGCAGGGUGUCAUCCCCUUCCUGGGC